This 595-nucleotide ribosomal RNA is filed under the name uncultured Actinobacillus sp. RNAcentral describes it as "bacterial SSU rRNA". It matches the Rfam family "Bacterial small subunit ribosomal RNA", at positions 78 to 670 of the family's 1533-position model. Lineage: Bacteria; Pseudomonadati; Pseudomonadota; Gammaproteobacteria; Pasteurellales; Pasteurellaceae. The record is from RNAcentral.
GCUUUCUUGCUGAGAGUGGCGGACGGGUGAGUAAUGCUUGGGAAUCUGGCUUAUGGAGGGGGAUAACUACGGGAAACUGUAGCUAAUACCGCGUAGUAUCGGGAGAUGAAAGUGUGGGACCGCAAGGCCACAUGCCAUAAGAUGAGCCCAAGUGGGAUUAGGUAGUUGGUGGGGUAAAGGCCUACCAAGCCGACGAUCUCUAGCUGGUCUGAGAGGAUGACCAGCCACACUGGAACUGAGACACGGUCCAGACUCCUACGGGAGGCAGCAGUGGGGAAUAUUGCACAAUGGGGGGAACCCUGAUGCAGCCAUGCCGCGUGAAUGAAGAAGGCCUUCGGGUUGUAAAGUUCUUUCGGUGAUGAGGAAGGCAGUUGUUUUAAUAGAACAAUUGAUUGACGUUAGUCACAGAAGAAGCACCGGCUAACUCCGUGCCAGCAGCCGCGGUAAUACUGAGGGUGCAAGCGUUAAUCGGAAUGACUGGUCGUAAAGGGCACGCAGGCGGUGACUUAUGUGGGAUGUGAAAGCCCCCGGGCUUAACCUGGGAAUUGCAUUUCAUACAGGGUCGCUAGAGUAUUUUAAGGAGGGGUAGAAUUCC